AGAAAAAUAAGCUAAUUUAAGCUAAUGGGUUCAUACCUCAUCAAUGGACAAAGUCCUUUUUCUA
RNAcentral lists this transfer RNA (64 nucleotides) under Phraortes lianzhouensis. RNAcentral's name for it is "tRNA-Met". The record is from RNAcentral. Lineage: Eukaryota; Metazoa; Arthropoda; Insecta; Phasmatodea; Lonchodidae.